This is a long non-coding RNA of Cajanus cajan (pigeon pea), 653 nucleotides long. RefSeq lists it as uncharacterized. NCBI's taxonomy places the organism in Eukaryota, Viridiplantae, Streptophyta, Magnoliopsida, Fabales, Fabaceae. The record is from RefSeq and is a predicted model, not a curated record.
CUCUUCAGUCGUUUCUCUUCUCUCACUCUUCAGUCGUUUUCCUGUCAAGAUUCUCUUCUCUCAGUCUUCAUUCGUUUCCAGUGUCAAGAAUCUCUGUUUCGAAGAGUCUCUGUUCCUUCGAUAGCAUUGGCACACGCCAAUCCAAUGCCUCAUAUUUGCAACCGGUGGACAUGCAUUUCUUUGAUUUUUGUUACUCGUCAGAGCUUCUGGGUUGUCUUCAGUUGCGUCCUCUGUUCUCCGCAUCUUCAAGAGCGGAAUACCUAAAGAAAUUGAAGAACACGCACAAGUGUCUGUGCGCCCCUUGUGGUCAUUUUUUCCUUGCACAAAGGCUGCCAAAAGAAAGUCAAGAAAACAUUGUUCAACAAUUCAAUGCUGCACUCCUUCUUUCUUCUUGAUUGAAAUUGAAAAGCUGUUGGAUGUUUCGAUAGUUGUAAUUUUUUCUUUUCCUCAAAACUCAAGAAAAUCCGUUUUUGUUGAAAUUCUUGAAUGUGUAUUUUAUUUUUAUCUUUGUUCAGUUGUUUUUUACCACAUUUAGAAAAUACAUUCUUUCUAACUUUUGUGUAAUUGGUAAAUCAUAUUUCGAUUCUUUUUCUUUAUAUUUUUAUUAUUUUGUUGUUGAAGUAGUUCCUUUUAGAGAAGUAGCUUUUAUCUUC